This 860-nucleotide long non-coding RNA is filed under the name Musa acuminata (dwarf banana). Its description in RNAcentral is "long non-coding RNA (MACU_LNC005803)". The record is from RNAcentral. Lineage: Eukaryota; Viridiplantae; Streptophyta; Magnoliopsida; Zingiberales; Musaceae.
GUUUUGAGCUCUAAUUUCAAACUGGUUUGGGGCCUAUAUAAACCCCACUCUUUCAGCAAUGAAAGAGCAAUGAAAACCACCGAAAUCCUGAUCUUACUCUGUGAUUUUUAGAGCUCAAAAGUGUUGUAUGAGUUAAAAGUUCUUCUCCUUCUCUUCUUCCAAGUUCAGAUCUUUCAAGAGAGGAGAGAAAAGUCUGUAAGGGUUGUCCCCUAAGCCCGUCAAAAGGAGUGAAUCUGUAAAAAGGUGGUUGGCCUUCGCCUAUUGAAGGAAGGCCUCUAGUGGACGUCGGCAACCUCAUCGGUGGAGGAAGCUAGAAGUGGAUGUAGGUCAAGAUUGACCGAACCACUCUAAAUCGCGCUGCUCUCUGGUUUGCAUUUACUUUGAGCUCAUUAUCUUAACUGCAAACCUCCUUCAUAGCCUACUAUGUUCUGCGCUUUUACGUCUACGCUUUCAAGCUCAAUACUUUCCGAAACGUGUUUAGACGUAAAUCGAUUUUCUCGCAAACCACUAUAAAUCGCGCUGCUCUCUGGUUUGCUUUUACUUUGAGCUUAUUAUCCUUACUGCAAACCUUCUUCAUAGCUUACUAUCUUCUGCGCUUUUACGUUUGCAAGCUCAAUACUUUCCGAAUCAUGUUUAGACGUAAAUCGGUUUUCUCGUACGAACAUCGUAUUUCAGUUUGCGCUUAUAUUUUGAUUUCUAUCACAACAGCAAACUGCCUUAAACAGAUUCGUUUUAACUUCCUCUUACCUAAUCACAAGUUAAAGUGAUUUACGAAUCGAAGUUUCUGCUGAAAUCGGCUUUGUCGUACGAACUCAGUUUAAAAACGUAGAAAGUUUUCCGCUGCACUAAUUCACCCCCCC